GGGGUCGUGGGCUAACCUGGCAGACUGCCGGCCUUGGGCGUCGGUGAUCCUAGUUCAAAUCUGGGCGACCUCA
This 73-nucleotide transfer RNA is filed under the name Microcaldota archaeon. Its description in RNAcentral is "tRNA-Pro". It matches the Rfam family "tRNA". From Rfam's summary of the family: Transfer RNA (tRNA) molecules are approximately 80 nucleotides in length. Lineage: Archaea; Nanobdellati; Microcaldota. The record is from RNAcentral.